AUAAAAUGUCGGAAAAACGAGUAGUUUUGAUAAAACUAAACAUUAAAUAGUUAUUAUUUAUUUUAUUAU
RNAcentral lists this transfer RNA (69 nucleotides) under Didemnum perlucidum. RNAcentral's name for it is "tRNA-Ile". The record is from RNAcentral. Lineage: Eukaryota; Metazoa; Chordata; Ascidiacea; Aplousobranchia; Didemnidae.